This 821-nucleotide ribosomal RNA is filed under the name Torula sp. Its description in RNAcentral is "partial large subunit ribosomal RNA". It matches the Rfam family "Eukaryotic large subunit ribosomal RNA", at positions 79 to 916 of the family's 3401-position model. Lineage: Eukaryota; Fungi; Ascomycota; Dothideomycetes; Pleosporales; Torulaceae. The record is from RNAcentral. RNAcentral also lists the same sequence under 1 other name.
CCUAGUAACGGCGAGUGAAGCGGCAACAGCUCAAAUUUGAAAUCUGGCCCCCUCGGGGUCCGAGUUGUAAUUUGCAGAGGGAGCUUUUGGCGUCGGUCGUGGUCUAAGUUCCUUGGAACAGGACGUCACAGAGGGUGAGAAUCCCGUACGUGGCCGCCGGCCUUCGCCUUGUAAAGCCCCUUCGACGAGUCGAGUUGUUUGGGAAUGCAGCUCUAAAUGGGAGGUAAAUUUCUUCUAAAGCUAAAUACCCGCCAGAGACCGAUAGCGCACAAGUAGAGUGAUCGAAAGAUGAAAAGCACUUUGGAAAGAGAGUGAAAAAGCACGUGAAAUUGUUGAAAGGGAAGCGCUUGCGGCCAGACUUGCCCGCGGUUGAUCAUCCAGGCUCCGGCCUGGUGCACUCCUCCGCGGGCAGGCCAGCAUCAGUUCGGGCGGUCGGAUAAAGGCCUCUAUCACGUACCACCCCUCGGGGUGGCCUUAUAGGGGAGGCGCAACACGGCCAGCCCGGACUGAGGUUCCGCGCAUCUGCUAGGAUGCUGGCGUAAUGGCAGCAAGCGGCCCGUCUUGAAACACGGACCAAGGAGUCUAACAUCUAUGCGAGUGUUUGGGUGUCAAGCCCGAGCGCGCAAUGAAAGUGAACGGAGGUGGGAACCCUUACCGGUGCACCAUCGACCGAUCCUGAUGUCUUCGGAUGGAUUUGAGUAAGAGCAUAGCUGUUGGGACCCGAAAGAUGGUGAACUAUGCCUGAAUAGGGUGAAGCCAGAGGAAACUCUGGUGGAGGCUCGCAGCGGUUCUGACGUGCAAAUCGAUCGUCAAAUUUGGGC